GACGAACGCUGGCGGCGUGCCUAAUACAUGCAAGUAGAACGCACAGUUUAUACCGUAGCUUGCUACACCAUAGACUGUUAGUUGCGAACGGGUGAGUAACGCGUAGGUAACCUGCCUGGUAGCGGGGGAUAACUAUUGGAAACGAUAGCUAAUACCGCAUACUAUUUAUUAUUGCAUGAUAAUUAAUUGAAAGGUGCAAUUGCACCACUACCAGAUGGACCUGCGUUGUAUUAGCUAGUAGGUGAGGUAACGGCUCACCUAGGCGACGAUACAUAGCCGACCUGAGAGGGUGAUCGGCCACACUGGGACGGAGACACGGCCCAGACUCCUACGGGAGGCAGCAGUAGGGAAUCGUCGGCAAUGGACGAAAGUCUGACCGAGCAACGCCGCGUGAGGGAAGAAGGUGUUCGGGUCGUAAAGAUCUGUUGUAAGAGAAGAACGGGUGUGAGAGUGGAAAGUUCACACUGUGACGGUAUCUGACCAGAAAGGGACGGCUAACUACGUG
RNAcentral lists this ribosomal RNA (505 nucleotides) under uncultured bacterium. Its description in RNAcentral is "partial 16S ribosomal RNA". It matches the Rfam family "Bacterial small subunit ribosomal RNA", at positions 28 to 507 of the family's 1533-position model. The record is from RNAcentral.